CUGCUUACUGGCAGAGGAGAUAGCAUGGUGACCAAGGUGCCUCAACCAAGGAGACAGUCAGCCAAUGCACUGUGGCCAUGCUGAGCCAUGCAAUUCCCCUAAAUGUGGGAAUCUCGACUGCAUAAUUUCUGGUACUGGGGGCAAGGGUGUCAGAGGGGCCUGGAUACCCUGG
Molecule: small nuclear RNA, 172 nt
Organism: Paramormyrops kingsleyae
Lineage: Eukaryota; Metazoa; Chordata; Actinopteri; Osteoglossiformes; Mormyridae
Gene: U1
Rfam family: U1 spliceosomal RNA
About the family: U1 is a small nuclear RNA (snRNA) component of the spliceosome (involved in pre-mRNA splicing).
Source: Ensembl